UACGUAGGGUGCGAGCGUUAAUCGGAAUUACUGGGCGUAAAGCGUGCGCAGGCGGUUUUGUAAGCCAGAUGUGAAAUCCCCGGGCUCAACCUGGGAAUUGCAUUUGUGACUGCACGGCUAGAGUGUGUCAGAGGGGGGUAGAAUUCCACGUGUAGCAGUGAAAUGCGUAGAGAUGUGGAGGAAUACCGAUGGCGAAGGCAGCCCCCUGGGAUAACACUGACGCUCAUGCACGAAAGCGUGGGGAGCAAACAGG
This 253-nucleotide ribosomal RNA is filed under the name uncultured bacterium. RNAcentral describes it as "partial 16S ribosomal RNA". It matches the Rfam family "Bacterial small subunit ribosomal RNA", at positions 524 to 776 of the family's 1533-position model. The record is from RNAcentral.